CGAAUAGGGCGGUACAAAGGGUACGCGAACCCGCGAGGGGGAGCCAAUCCUAAAAAGCUAGGCCUCAGUUCAGAUUGCAGUCUGAACUCGACUGCAUGAAGUCGGAGUUGCUAGUAAACGCAGGUCAGCUAUACUGCGUUGAAUACGUUCCCGGGGCCUU
This 160-nucleotide ribosomal RNA is filed under the name uncultured Anaerolineaceae bacterium. RNAcentral's name for it is "partial 16S ribosomal RNA". It matches the Rfam family "Bacterial small subunit ribosomal RNA", at positions 1225 to 1382 of the family's 1533-position model. Lineage: Bacteria; Bacillati; Chloroflexota; Anaerolineae; Anaerolineales; Anaerolineaceae. The record is from RNAcentral.